AGUAUUUUAUAAUAUUAUGAAUUCCAAAGCUUUUUAAUUUUUAUAAGAGGGAACGUUAUUUAACGAUUAACAUUUUUUGCAAUCUUGACUGAUGACAUUGUUUCCAGAGUAUAAGGAUCUUCAUACAUUUUUUAACGACAUUUUCGAUCUGCGUUCAUAGCUAAUUUUAAUUAAAAUUUAUUUUUUUAAAUGUAAAGUAACCUAUUUUGAUUACAGAUUUUGUAAAAGAAAAGGUUCAAGAAAAAGCUUCUGUGAAAGAAGAGGUUCAAGAAGAGGUUAAAGAAGAAGGUGAAAUUGCUGUUUAAUCCGCAGCCCGUAGCAGAUAUUACGUAUCAAGGUGGUUUAGAUCAAGCCACAAAGAAUUCCUCUUCAUUGUCCUGAUAAAUUGUAGUUUAUAGUACAGCAAAAUAAAAUGUAAAAAAAAUUAUGAACUGUAUUUCGUUACGCAUGUCUGCAAUAAAUAUAUAAAAUUAUUGAAAACCA
Molecule: long non-coding RNA, 483 nt
Organism: Belonocnema kinseyi
Lineage: Eukaryota; Metazoa; Arthropoda; Insecta; Hymenoptera; Cynipidae
Exons: 4
Source: RefSeq, a predicted model, not a curated record